CAGGCCGCCACGGGAAUACGUAGGGGGCAAGCGUUAUCCGGAAUUACUGGGUGUAAAGGGAGCGUAGACGGUUAAACAAGUCUGAAGUGAAAUGCCGGGGCUCAACCCCGGAGCUGCUUUGGGAACUGUAGAACUGGAGUGUCGGAGGGGUAAGCGGAAUUCCCAGUGUAGCGGUGAAAUGCGUAGAUAUUGGGAGGAACACCGGCGGCGAAGGCGGCUUACUGGACGACAACUGACGUUGAGGCUCGAAGGCGUGGGUAGCAAACAGGAUUAGAUACCCGCGUAGUCCCUGUCUCUUAUA
RNAcentral lists this ribosomal RNA (301 nucleotides) under uncultured bacterium. RNAcentral describes it as "partial 16S ribosomal RNA". It matches the Rfam family "Bacterial small subunit ribosomal RNA", at positions 508 to 808 of the family's 1533-position model. The record is from RNAcentral.